UUGUCACACCGCCCGUCGUUUCUACCGAUUGAAUGGCUUUGUGAGGUCUUGGGAGCGUUGGCUUGGUGGGCGACCGCCGCGCUGAUGCAAACUUGAUCAAACUUGGUCAUUUUGAGGAAGUACAAGUCGUAACAAGGUUUCCGUAGGUGAACCUGCGGAAGGAUCAUUUUUGAACCAAAUAUAACACUGUGACGAGCCCUUGCGUAGCGAGGGCGACUGCUUCCGGUUCGCCGGAUUUUUUUUUUCCAGUUUUCUGAUAAUGUUUGUGAAAAACUUUCAACAACGGAUCUCUUGGUUCUCGCAUCGAUGAAGAACGCAGCAAAGCGCGAUAGGUAAUGCGAAUUGCAGACGUGAGUCAUUGAAUCUUUGAACGCACAUUGCGCCAGUUUUCUGGCAUACUGCGUUGAGCGUCGGCCUUCCUCCACAGGUGCUGCUACUUUCAGUAGUGAAAGGCAUGGACACGCACCCGUUUGCAAACCGGUGUUGACCUACAAAUUCGACCUCAGCGUAGUAAGAUUUCCCGCUGAACUUUAGCAUAUCAAUAAGCGGAGGAAAAGAAACCAACAGGGAUUGCCCUAGUAAUGGCGAAUGAACAGGCAAAAGCUCAGAUUUGAAACCCUCGGGAUUGUAAUCUGGAGACCUGGAUUUGGCACGCUGACCAAGUCUUCUGGAACGGAGCGCCAUGGAGGGUGACAGCCCCGUAGCAGCAGCCGCAGUAAAUCCGGGUCGACGAGUCGA
RNAcentral lists this ribosomal RNA (738 nucleotides) under Entelexis paramagnoliae. RNAcentral describes it as "eukaryotic LSU rRNA". The stretch from base 498 to 738 matches the Rfam family "Eukaryotic large subunit ribosomal RNA", at positions 1 to 268 of the family's 3401-position model. Lineage: Eukaryota; Fungi; Ascomycota; Dipodascomycetes; Dipodascales; Trichomonascaceae. The record is from RNAcentral.